RNAcentral lists this ribosomal RNA (933 nucleotides) under Triticum aestivum (bread wheat). RNAcentral's name for it is "partial small subunit ribosomal RNA". The record is from RNAcentral. Lineage: Eukaryota; Viridiplantae; Streptophyta; Magnoliopsida; Poales; Poaceae.
AUGGCAGUGGGGUUCCGCCGGGCGCUGGACGCGCUCACGUCGCCCAAGUCGGCCCUGCUGGAGUGCGCGCGGCCCAAGAAACUGUCCUCCUACGCGCGCGUCCGCUCCAUCAGCCUCCCCGUCCGCCUCCACCCGCUGGUGGCCGCGCUGCAUGACUCGGCGCGCGCGCUGCUCCGGUGGGCGGACGAGCCCGCGCAGACGGGCCCCGCGUGGGUCGCCGACGGGGCCGACCGGGCCGGGCAGGUGCUGGCGGGCCUCUCCGCCAUGCUCCACCACCCGCAGGCGCGGGACGCGCUCCGCCGGCCCUGGACGGAGCAGCUGCUCGACGACCUGCUCCUCCUCGCCGACUUCCACGGCUGCUUCAGGGACUCGCUCGUCGCGCUCCGCCAGCUGCUCAACGAGACGCACUCCGCCCUGCGCCGCCGCGACGGCGUGCGCCUCGCCGCGGCGCUCCGCGCGCAGCGCCGCGCCGCCAGGGAGCUCUCCCGCCUCGCCUCCUCCGCGCGGGACCUCUGCCACCGCGCCGCCCCCGACGACGACGUGGACGAGAUCACGCUCGCCGACGCCUUCGCGGCCGCCACGGCCGCCGUGGCCGCCGCCUCCGCCGCCAUCUUCUCCGGCCUGUCAUCCGCCUCGGCCGAGUCCGCCGCGAGCGCCGCCCCGUCCCCGAGGACCCCGACGCCCUACUCCCCCGCCCGCGCCCCCGCCAGCCCGAUGUGGCUGGUGACGGACCUCCUUCGCCGGCGGAGAACCGUGUCGUUCUCGUUCGAGGAAUACUGCAACGAGGAGGAGGAGGAGAGGAAGGCGGCCAUGGGCCGGGUGCGCGGCCUCGAGGAGUGCGUGGCCGCCGCCGAGGGCAGCGGCGAGCAGGUGUACCGCGCGCUCGUGAACGCCAGGGUGUCGCUGCUCAACCUGCUCACGCCCACAUUCUGA